CGUCCACUGACGUCUUUUACACGUCUAGACUAGACUAGUAGGAAAAAAACAGAAUUAUCUUUAUGAAAUACACAAUUUGUAUACAAAGUAAAUAUAUUAACUUUAUCUUGUUUAAAAAAAUUAUAAUCACAAACUGCCCAGUGUGAUUGCAAAGCCACAAUACAUCAUUAUUUCAACCUGCUUUAUUAUUAAAUGUAUGCAUAUAAAUGUAAAGAAAGUAUAUAUCCGGUUACCAUUUAGGUCUGAGUUGGAUGUAAUUUCAAAACUGCGCUGCCAAGAAUGUUUUAACAAAAUAUUUUACAAAAUCGCGCGAUAGGAUAGAUUUUCUCGCGAGAUAGUUGUCACGUCACACGUUCUCCCGGAAGUACGUCGUGUGCAGCCAGCAAGCCACGAGGAGAGGGUGAAUUUAUGAAGGAGUUGUGUCUAUAUAUUAUAUAAAACCUACUAUUGGUUGAAGAUCAACACAAACCAAAUGAAGAUGUUGUAGAUUCUACAAACAAUAAAAAAGAAGGUGAUGGCACACAUCAUGACAGUAAACAUCGGUAUCAAGAUGGUGUGAUUGAUCUAUACCCUAGAAUAAGCUGUGACACUGAUGCUGUGGUCACAUAAUGAACAGCCAUCUUACAGACAACCGAAAGAGUAUUGUCUACAAUCCCAAAUUCUGGAUUGACGAUCCAGUACCAGUGGGCACCCCAAUCCCAGAGAGCAUCCAUCUGAAACCAGGUGAGGUAACACAACGAAAAAAUUACCGGAUGGAGACUACCUGAUUCUUCACCUAUGGCCUCAGCUUCAAAUGCAAGAAUACGUCCAGCAACUGUCUGAGCUGGUGGAUAUUCUGUCAGAGACUGCGUGAACAAUGUUAUGAACAGGUAUGUAUUUCUCUUGAAUUGUGUAAUCUUGCACCAUAAUAUUUCAGGAAUAUAUGUUGAUUACCACCAUUAACCCAGCUAUUUAUAUUACUUCAUUUCAGGAUUUAAUCUGUCACACAUUACUUGUUCAGAAGUUUUAAUGUUCGUAGUGGCUCAAACAGUCAGCCAUACUGAAAAAAAGAAAUCAAAACAUAAUUUCAGUAAUGAUGUCUAAUUGUCUUAUGGCAAAGUUCAAUAUGAGGGGUGGUGGACAUCUGGAAAAGAAGUCUUUUAAAGGCAGACCUUUGUAUUAUGUUAUUCAAGAUGCUGUGAAGAGGUGGAGCCCAAAUGCCACAGACUCGGAAAUAGAUGCAGCUAUGGCAGACGACCUCAAGCUAAAUAAGCCAAACAGCUGUAAUGUGUUAAAGAGAGAGUUCACCCAAAAAUGAAAAUUGUUAUAAUUUUUUUACCCACAUGUUUCAAACCUGUAUACAUUUCUAUUUUCUGCUGAACACAAAGAUUGAAAAAUGUUUGUAACCAAGCUAACUGUCAAUAAUUUUUUUUUACAAUUGUAGUACUGGGUUGUGAGAUCUGCUUUCUAUUCUUUCAAAUAUCUUUGUGUUCAGCAGAACAUAGAAAAGUAUACAGGUUUGAAACAUAAGAGAGAGUAAAUUACUAAAUAAUCAUUUUGGGUGAACUAUCCUUUUAUAGAGUAAAGUAUUUUGAAAUUGUUAUUAUAGUUAAACGGUUUAAAAAAAUAAAAAGUGCUAAAUCAGAACAUGCUUCUUUUUUUGCUUGUAUCCAUAAAUAAUGUGUUCUUUAAUGUGUUUGUGAAAUACACGUGAUUACAACGUUAUAAAGACGUUCAGGUUUGACUGGACUGAAUUUGUGUAUUUUAAGAACCUUAAUAAUUGCCUAUUACAAUUGUACAAACUAGCCUGUUUUAUAUGCACGUUUAAGUGAGUAUAACGCCUGAAUUAAGCAGAGACUCAUAUUACAGUCCAGAAGAGGACAUUUUUAGACGUGCACGGACCGUGCAGAAAAGACGUGUGAUUCACGGUCAGAUGACGUCAAAGACGUCGGUUGGAUUUUCAUUUUGGAACUAUUUUUCAACCAGGACGGGACGUGACGAACGGACGUCUUUUCAACGGUCAUCACA
This is a non-coding RNA of Paramisgurnus dabryanus, 2007 nucleotides long. The record is from RefSeq and is a predicted model, not a curated record. Lineage: Eukaryota; Metazoa; Chordata; Actinopteri; Cypriniformes; Cobitidae.